This 3096-nucleotide long non-coding RNA is filed under the name Bos indicus x Bos taurus (hybrid cattle). RNAcentral's name for it is "lncRNA (ENSBIXG00000010462.1)". The record is from RNAcentral. Lineage: Eukaryota; Metazoa; Chordata; Mammalia; Artiodactyla; Bovidae.
AUGAUUACACGCCAAAAGAAAAGUCAGAGUUCAAUUAAAAAAAAAAAAAAGAAUUUGGAAGGGAAGAUGGAAAACAAAAGCACUCCCCACUUCCUGCCCACGUGUUAUCACACGGUAAUAUUGCACAGCAGCGCGGUACCGCCUCGCCCCGAGUCCGAGAGGUCUGACUGCAUCGUUAGCCAGUGGCAGCGUUGCUCGUUGGAGGGAGGGCUCGCCUGGAAGUGGGGGGGCUCGAUGCUUCCCAGGCUGACGUUAGUGUCUCUGCAAGGACGCUCUGCCAGGGUGCGACGGGUCACAACCAAACGGAUUGCUCCCCAGUGGGCCGGACUCCAGUCAGAUUGUCAGAUGGAUUCACUUGGAGAGACACAUUUUUAAAGACAUGGGUGUGGAUAGCAGCCUUUGGAGCAGACCCGUUUCUCCAGGCAUUAAAAGUUCCAAGAAACAAAAAGUGAGAAAAGGAAGAGAAAACAAAAAGGAAGAGGCGAGUGAGAGUCCAGCCCCAGCGGGGAGUACCGUGGAGGAGUCGCAGCCUGGGUCAUGUUGAGAGCCCCAGUGCUCCCCAAAUGACACACCCUCGGGAAACUCAGGCAGAGCCUGCAACUCCCCACCGCAAUCCCACACCAGGCUCUAAAGCUAUCUGCAGCCCCGCUAUUUAUCCGCCCGGCGAGGCACAACACUUACUUAUUAAAAACAUAUCUAUCAUGGUUAAUGACUUGAUUUUUUCCCUUUAAUACAGUACAAUGACAGGUGUAAAGGGAAGAUGAGAGUCAGAUGCUGCUGCAAUAUGCUUCCUGCUCUAAGAUGUCUUAGCGCAUCAGCCUUCCUCCAUGGCGCCGGUUGGGUGGGGGGUGGGAUGGAGGGGUGCCACCCACCCCCCUCGCUCCCCUCCACCCCACCCCCGACAUACACAGAUUACACGCUUGUGUUGGAUGGAAAAUCGUACCAUUUGCAGUUUCAGAUAAAAGCAUGUUCAAGUGCAUAUGGAAAGUACCAUUAGGAGCAACUCCAGAGCGCCGAGUAAAACGGGUCAUUAGGUUUUUGUUUGCUGGAGAGUGUCUCCCAUCUGACAGUACCGAAUGGUGCCACUUUGAGCAGCUUAUGUUCCCAGUUACAUUAAACAGACAAACAGAUUGACUGUUUUGCAUUUCUCAUCUGACAACAGCUUGUCUUCAUUUGCCGCACACGGGUGGCAGGGCUGAAAAGCACGGUGGAUGGCUGCCGCCAAGGUCCUGGUUUUGAAUAACAGCAGAUGCCAACCCCGAACUUCAAAAUCAAUCACUUCUUUUUCCUGAGUAUGGAUAAAAGGUCCAGGAGAGCGCCUGCAGGGGGAUUUCUGCUGUUUACAGCGGAACACAGAGAAGCCAUGUUCAUUACCAAACUUUCUGCGAGAAAUCACAAGCUUGGGGAAUUUUAUCAAGGGAGGUGGUGGGGAAGACGCGGGGCUGUAGCACUGCUGGGAGCAGGCAGCUUGAUCUGAGAACACUCGAUAUGAUGGAGGCGAUGACCGUAUUAGUGGAUCUGAUUCUGGCGCGAGGUCUUAAUACGCAGUGACAGAAGAGAGAAGUCGUUUUCACACCAGCCACUUUUCUCAGUAGCCAGUGGUCGGUGGGUUAAUUGAAAGCUUUCUCUAAGAGGGAGGCCGUCCAAGAGGCCAUUUCUCACUUGAAAUUAUAAAGUUAAUGGCUUGAUUUCAAGUCAGCCAGCAUGUGAUCCAGUAUCUUUGGGUCUCUGACUGCCCAGCUGCCCAGGCCCCUCUAGUGGUCCCACCACGGCCUCUCGUGGGUAUCAGAGGCUGGACCACAGCCCCUGCUUAGCAUCAUCCUUGCGGCAUUCAGGUGCUGGAGGGCAUGCCCCGUGAGCAUGUGACAGGCGUGAGUAGGAGAUGGACCUCCCGCCCCAGCAGUCUGGCCCCCUCCUAUCUGCUCUGAGCCUCAUCUGUUCUGUAAGAGGCAGGGAACCUUGGUGGCUCAAGUCCAGAACUUUGGCAAUGGACAAACCACAGCUCGGUCCUCAGCUCUGCCCCUACAAGGCUGUGAGAGGGAGUGGACGUGACGUCGCUUCUCUGAGCCAGUUUCCUCAUCCACAACAUAGGGAGAGUAGUGCAGCUUCCACGUGACAGCAUCAUUGCGGAGCUGAAAUGUGAUCACGUGUAUAAAAGCCGUAACAGCGCUCCUUACGCAGAACAUCGUUAAGUGUUCAUUAAUGGCUGGUAGGUGUGUGUGUAAAACUAUAUGCAUUUUCUUAUAUGUGGUUCAUAUGUGUGCAUACACAUACAUAUCAUAAGAUGCAUAAUAGAAUGUGUUACCUGUGAGCAUGUGUAUACACACUCAUACAUAAUAUACAAUACAGUGCACAUAUACUGAGUGUGUAAAUACAUACGUGUAAAGGUGAAAUCUACCCACAGUGACUACGUGAAGGUCUGAAAUGCUGUGAUGGAGCCUCAGUCCUCUGGCCCUCCCCAGGAGGCCAGCAGGGGACACCCCCCUUGUCCUCCACCAGCCUCAUCACGUUCAUUCUCUCAAAUGGGAAGAGACUUUUUCCUUCCAUCUCAUAACAGGCAGUCGAGCUCCGUCGAGGGUCCCCUGUCACCCUGAAAGCCGGCGCCUGUGGACACUGCUGUGGUGUGCCCGUCCUGCAGGGGACAAGAUGAAGUCUGGGCGGGGAGAAGUUGCUUCCCCGGCGUCUGGUGGGUCCGUGGACCGGCGGGCAUGCAAACUCCGGCGUGCUUCAUGUCUCCAUCCUCCCCGGGAAUGGUGGUUCCCCCGCAGAGAUGGGGAAACAGGGUCCUGUCACAGCAGGCACCUAUGGGACCCAUCCUCCUGAGGACCCUCCUGAGGACUCACUUCUCCUGUAGUCCAGCCUCAGCUUUUUUUGUUUUGUUUUGUUUUUGGCUCGGGGACCUGCCUUGUGACUGAGUUCCUCUGGCUCCUGUUGCCCCAAAACCAACCCAAAUACAAGCAUUUGGAUUUUUAUCAAAGCUUGCGGCAGACCCUGCUGUUGAAGUCAAGUUUUUUAUUGACAUAAAACUCAAGAGAGUUCUGAAAGGAUCUCUUAAACAGAAAUAAACCUCAGACAUUGCUCCUGUAAAAAAAAGGA